Molecule: long non-coding RNA, 226 nt
Filed under: Lathyrus oleraceus (garden pea)
Lineage: Eukaryota; Viridiplantae; Streptophyta; Magnoliopsida; Fabales; Fabaceae
Description: Pisum sativum (pea) long non-coding RNA (PSAT_LNC004708)
Source: RNAcentral
UAUGAAAUGCUAAAUGAAUGCAUGAAUGAGGAGGGCAAAUUUUGGGGUGUUACAGCUGCCCCUAUUCAAACAUCAGCUAACCCGAGUAGGAUGAAAGCGAAUAGCUUAUCAGACAAACGGGGUGAGCUGUGAUUGAAUACCAAAGACAAACCGAAAAUUUGUGCUCAUAGAAUACCACAAAAACGCGGAAAUACACCGCGCUGUUUAUCUUUCUUCCGAUCCUCUG